Molecule: transfer RNA, 75 nt
Filed under: [Mycoplasma] anseris
Lineage: Bacteria; Bacillati; Mycoplasmatota; Mycoplasmoidales; Metamycoplasmataceae
Description: Mycoplasma anseris tRNA-Arg
Rfam family: tRNA
About the family: Transfer RNA (tRNA) molecules are approximately 80 nucleotides in length.
Source: RNAcentral
GGUCACAUAGCUCAGUGGAAGAGCAUAAGCCUCCUAAGCUUAGGGUCGCAGGUUCAACUCCUGUUGUGAUCGCCA